UACGAAGGGGGCUAGCGUUGUUCGGAAUUACUGGGCGUAAAGCGUGCGCAGGCGGCUGCUCAAGUCAGGGGUGAAAGCCCAGAGCUCAACUCUGGAAUUGCCUUUGAGACUGAGUGGCUUGAGUACGGGAGAGGUGAGUGGAAUUCCCAGUGUAGAGGUGAAAUUCGUAGAUAUUGGGAAGAACACCGGUGGCGAAGGCGGCUCACUGGCCCGUAACUGACGCUCAUGCACGACAGCGUGGGGGAUCAAACAGG
This 254-nucleotide ribosomal RNA is filed under the name uncultured bacterium. RNAcentral describes it as "partial 16S ribosomal RNA". It matches the Rfam family "Bacterial small subunit ribosomal RNA", at positions 524 to 776 of the family's 1533-position model. The record is from RNAcentral.